RNAcentral lists this long non-coding RNA (500 nucleotides) under Lonchura striata (white-rumped munia). RNAcentral's name for it is "domestica (Bengalese finch) lncRNA (ENSLSDG00000008968.1)". The record is from RNAcentral. Lineage: Eukaryota; Metazoa; Chordata; Aves; Passeriformes; Estrildidae.
UUGUUGCAGGGCCCUGAGAUUUCAGGCUUUUUGUGCCUUUUUAUGUCUGACAUAUAUAAGAAUAUCCACAGAGCACUGGUGUGGGAGCAGUGUCCAAGGCAUCCCACAUCAUGCAUGAUCUUGAGGCAGUCCUGCUCUGUUCUCCAUCCAAAAUGAUGUGUGCCACAAGGAAAAAUUCUUAACAGAGUGGAGCAAAAUAAUUGUGAAUUACUGUCUCUUGUGUGUUUGCAGAUCUCAAAGAACAGCUUCUGGUCAUCAAAGGUGAAUGAGCAAAGUUCCUGGCACUCUUGUGACAAACAAAUCCUAACAAGGUAUUUCCAAGCCUGGAGGAGACAUACCCUUUGGAAGAGGGCAGCCACGCAGCUUUACAGACACCAGCUGCUUCAGAAGGGCUUUGGUGCUCUGCAGUGGACUGUGCACCCAAGGAGGACACAACUGGAGGUGGCCCAGCAGAAACAUGCUUCAACUCUGCUAGCUGCCAGCUUCCAGAGGGUGAGCAC